GACGAACGCUGGCGGCGUGCUUAACACAUGCAAGUCGAACGGCAAGGCCCUGCUUUUGUGGUGUGCUCGAGUGGCGAACGGGUGAGUAACACGUGAGUAACCUGCCCUUGACUUUGGGAUAACUUCAGGAAACUGGGGCUAAUACCGGAUAGGAGCUCCUGCUGCAUGGUGGGGGUUGGAAAGUUUCGGCGGUUGGGGAUGGACUCGCGGCUUAUCAGCUUGUUGGUGGGGUAGUGGCUUACCAAGGCUUUGACGGGUAGCCGGCCUGAGAGGGUGACCGGCCACAUUGGGACUGAGAUACGGCCCAGACUCCUACGGGAGGCAGCAGUGGGGAAUAUUGCACAGUGGGCGGAAGCCUGAUGCAGCAACGCCGCGUGCGGGAUGACGGCCUUCGGGUAGUAAACCGCUUUCGCCUGUGACGAAGCGUGAGUGACGGUAAUGGGUAAAGAAGCACCGGCUAACUACGUG
This 468-nucleotide ribosomal RNA is filed under the name uncultured bacterium. RNAcentral's name for it is "partial 16S ribosomal RNA". It matches the Rfam family "Bacterial small subunit ribosomal RNA", at positions 28 to 507 of the family's 1533-position model. The record is from RNAcentral.